AAAGAACGGGUGAAUAGGCAGCCUAAGUCCGGCCCUAAGGAUCGCCUCACUAAUGGCCACGCAGCCCGGCCUCGGGUAACAAGCUCUCUCUUCCGGCUCUGGGAGAAUCAGAUCCACACUGUCCGGGAUCCUAUAUUCUGUCCUAAGUCUACCAAAGUCGGCCUCCCUCAACUUUGAUGGGUAGUCCGACGCCCCCCAGUGCACAGAAGUAUCCG
This 215-nucleotide long non-coding RNA is filed under the name Olea europaea (common olive). Its description in RNAcentral is "long non-coding RNA (OEUR_LNC004349)". The record is from RNAcentral. Lineage: Eukaryota; Viridiplantae; Streptophyta; Magnoliopsida; Lamiales; Oleaceae.